UACAGGGGGUGCAAACGUUGCUCGGAAUCACUGGGCGUAAAGGGCGCGUAGGCGGGAUGGCAAGUCAGUCGUGAAAUCUCUCGGCUCAACCGAGAAACGUCGGCUGAUACUGCCGUUCUUGAGGGAUGCAGAGGAGACUGGAAUUCCCGGUGUAGCGGUGAAAUGUGUAGAGAUCGGGAGGAACACCGGUGGCGAAGGCGGGUCUCUGGGCAUUUCCUGACGCUGAGGCGCGAAAGCGUGGGGAGCAAACGGG
This 253-nucleotide ribosomal RNA is filed under the name uncultured bacterium. RNAcentral describes it as "partial 16S ribosomal RNA". It matches the Rfam family "Bacterial small subunit ribosomal RNA", at positions 524 to 776 of the family's 1533-position model. The record is from RNAcentral.